This 69-nucleotide transfer RNA is filed under the name Synapha fasciata. RNAcentral describes it as "tRNA-Gln". The record is from RNAcentral. Lineage: Eukaryota; Metazoa; Arthropoda; Insecta; Diptera; Mycetophilidae.
UAUAAUUUGAUGUAAAAUGCAUAAAAAUUUUUGAAAUUUUAAGAAAUAAAAUAAAAUUAUUAGUUAUAA